AGCUUUGACACUUGUAGAUCUGGAAUGUGGAAGUGCCCCAGAAUGAUCAUGAUUUAACGUUUGAGAUAAACUUUUGAUGAAAUUUCAGAUCAAUUCCUACGUCCUUUGGAAGAUACGUUUUAUCAUGACUUUAUAAUUCAGAAGAGAAACUUUAAUUUCUGUAGAAAAUUAUAAAAGAUGGUGAGACUAAGUUUCUCUCUAUAUAUAAAAUGAGAGGAUUGGAAGAUUGAGAUGAAGUCAUCUCCUAAGGGACCUACAUUUAAAAGCAAUCAGCUUCAUGGACCUGAAAGGACCUUCAAGGGCUUGACUGGCAAAACAUGUCUUGGAAAGAGGAUGAAUUCACCCAAGACCAAGAGAGGCUGAGGAAAGGAGGAAUCUGGUUGAUGGCAGGGAGUUAAGAAUCCAAGAGACGGGAACUGGAGCCAGAGUAGACCAGAAGCCAGAGAUUCAUUGCCCUCCAUCCUCAACUACAUGCUGAAAUACUAGAGGGACUCUUGUUUCUCACUCUCCAAGGGCUGUGAGUUCAAGCUAAUUGUAUUUAACUUCACAAGAAUUAGUCUUUUUUUCCAUCUUAGCAACUCCUUGCUUUUUUCCUUCAUUAGAUUAUCACUUGCAUUGCUUCGCGUUUUUCUUCUUUGGCAUUUUUACUUGUUACUGUCUGUCUUUCUUACUAAAAUAUAAACUCCAUGGAGGCGGGGAACA
This 702-nucleotide long non-coding RNA is filed under the name Homo sapiens (human). RNAcentral describes it as "novel transcript". Lineage: Eukaryota; Metazoa; Chordata; Mammalia; Primates; Hominidae. The record is from RNAcentral.